Long non-coding RNA from Scophthalmus maximus (turbot), 2233 nucleotides. RefSeq lists it as uncharacterized. The transcript is spliced from 5 exons. NCBI's taxonomy places the organism in Eukaryota, Metazoa, Chordata, Actinopteri, Pleuronectiformes, Scophthalmidae. The record is from RefSeq and is a predicted model, not a curated record.
GGGGGAGAGUCGGUUCUUACAGGCGGACACGCAGCACGCGGACAUGUUACUUUUCAAAUCGCCCGGAUUUGAUUUGGAGCCUCGGGUCCGGCGCUAACAGGAAGUUAUCAAAACACAACAAACGUCCACUUCCGUUGCCAAGAGGCGCGCGCAACCUCUUGAUGACGUCAGUGGCGUCAAGUGACGUGAAGUUGGUUCGUGUUCGACUGAAGCAACAACGUGAGGAGAAGAGUCCUGUUCUUCUCUUCCGCAUCAGUGUGUCUGUUCACUCGGCAGAGGCCGGUGACCGCCCCCUGCCGGCGGCUCGAGUGAGUGAGCAGGGGAUUAUUAUAAAUCUAUAGCUCAGAUUCACAAACCACAAUACGACUCAUCGGCUAUAUAAGUAUCUGAGUAUUUGAAUAUGUGGCCUUCAUACUGAACUAAGUAUGUAUCGCAGUACAGUACAGUAAAGGUACGGUGGCCCUGAAGUGCAAAUAGCACGACGAAGUUAGAAAACUGCCAAUUAAAAAACAACGACAAAUUCAUCUCAACAAAAAAAUCAAAAACACAGCGACAAUAAAAAAAAACACAUCAGCAAAUCGAAAGACAUUUUUCUUAUCUAUCGUGUUUUUUGGUUUGCUGUUGUGCUGUUUGAGUUAAGAUAACAUAAGAUAUCACUUUAUUCAUCACACAACAGGGAAGUUUGUGUUCGCUGUUACUCAUUUGUCAUUGUGUUUUCUUAUUUGUCGUUUUGAUUGGCACGUCAGGGCCACCGUAUACAGGUGCACUUAAAACGAACGACACGUUCAUGGUUCUACGUGAUCAUGUGACUGUGUGUUGUGUCUCAUUAAUGUGAUGUUCAUCGUGUUCGGAUGUGAAGUUCUAUAGAACAGAGGAACGAGCCUCAUGAAGAUUUGACCUCACAGAAAAUAGAAAACUGUCAUUCUGAUGCAGUCGUGGUUGUUAUGGUGAUUUUUUUAUUGGUCCAGGAUUUGUUGACAACCUUGUGAGUCAGUGUGGGUGUUUCACCAGCAGGUGUCGCUGUUGUGUAACGUGAGGAGCCGGUGUGAUGGAAACUAUUUUCAUAAAAGAACCACUUGACAUGAAUUCUGGUGAUUAAUGUCGGAAUGUUUUCUAUUAAUCUCUAUAAUCAGUCAUUUAUUUGAAAAAGCUGCAACUGAUCCUUUUCAUCAUCUUUGUCUGUUUGAGUCCUUUUUAUAAUUCAGAUCUCAAACCUGAAUCUGUAGCUGUGAUGAUGAACUGUGACCUGCUGAGCUCAUGGACUCUGUUGUGGGUGACUCCUCCAUCUGCCCCCUCCCCGGUCCUGCCAACCCUCCUCCCUCUGCAGUAAAGUGUGGAACAGUGACUGGAAUCUGAUCCUCUCGUCACCGUCCCACCUGUGAAGCUGCGUCAUCAAUCAAACCUCCGCUGCUUUGUCCCAUGUCUGUAAAACAGAGAGAUGCAGGAUGAGCAGUUUUCACUCUGGCUCUCAGCUUCUCUGACCCAUGUGCUCCGCUCGUCGUCGGCCAUGUUGGACGCCGGGCGUGUUGCUACCUGCUGCAGUCGGCACCUGAACGCGUCGCGUCUGUCGCUCUGUCGUCUGUGAAGGGUUGAGCCACUACAACGCAAAGGAGGAGUGUGUUUCCCGUCGCGCCCACAAGAGGAGAAGCCGUGAGUGAUUCCUCUGGUGGUGAUGUAUCUCUGACCUGCAGACACCUGGUUCAUCCUCAACAUGCUCUGCACUCUUCAUCACAAACUCUCUCCCGUGGAUGUUGCCAGCUGAGACCCGAGGACAAAAGGAGGAUUACAAAUGGACUUACUGACUCCAAUCCCCUCUUUCUUUCCUCCUCCUGCAGAUUAAAGACGGACUCACUUUUACGUCCCUUUUAUACUCAGAAAGAAUAUAAAACCUUUUACAGAUUUAUAUUCUGAAAGUGUGACGACCAGAGGCCGGUGUCUCACACACGUCUCUGUGAUCCUCAUGAUGGACGGAGGCUCAGGCCGACUGAGGAGAAUGUGAUGGGCAGCAGAUGGAAGUUGAAGCCUCAUGUGGCUCGACGACUCGCGUCCGCUCUGUCGAUCAGUUCCUCUUUGACCAGCUCAUCAUCAUCAUCAUCAUCAUCAUCACCAUCAUCACCAUCACCACCACACGUGUGCGUUUGGGAUUAAACUGCCUCUGGACCAGGACGCAGGUGCAGUCGAGGAUCAGCAGCUCCGACACUUCAGAUUGAAGAUGAAGGUUUUCAAUCCAACA